Molecule: transfer RNA, 83 nt
Filed under: Crassvirales sp.
Lineage: Duplodnaviria; Heunggongvirae; Uroviricota; Caudoviricetes; Crassvirales
Description: tRNA-Leu
Rfam family: tRNA
About the family: Transfer RNA (tRNA) molecules are approximately 80 nucleotides in length. Their secondary structure includes four short double-helical elements and three loops (D, anti-codon, and T loops).
Source: RNAcentral
GCCCCAAUGGUGGAAUUUGGUAGACACGUAUGUCUUAGGAACAUAUGCCUUAGGGUGUGCAGGUUCGAUUCCUGCUUGGGGUA